RNAcentral lists this ribosomal RNA (454 nucleotides) under uncultured Microbacteriaceae bacterium. Its description in RNAcentral is "bacterial SSU rRNA". It matches the Rfam family "Bacterial small subunit ribosomal RNA", at positions 929 to 1378 of the family's 1533-position model. Lineage: Bacteria; Bacillati; Actinomycetota; Actinomycetes; Micrococcales; Microbacteriaceae. The record is from RNAcentral.
GCGGCGGAGCAUGCGGAUUAAUUCGAUGCAACGCGAAGAACCUUACCAAGGCUUAGACAUAUACAGGAAAUGGCUGGAAACAGUCCCCCCGCAAGGUCUGUAUACAGGUGGUGCAUGGUUGUCGUCAGCUCGUGUCGUGAGAUGUUGGGUUAAGUCCCGCAACGAGCGCAACCCUCGUCCUAUCGUUGCCAGCACGUAAUGGUGGGAACUCAUGGGAGACUGCCGGGGUCAACUCGGAGGAAGGUGGGGAUGACGUCAAAUCAUCAUGCCCCUUAUGUCUUGGGCUUCACGCAUGCUACAAUGGCCGGUACAAAGGGCUGCAAUACCGCAAGGUGGAGCGAAUCCCAAAAAGCCGGUCUCAGUUCGGAUUGGAGUCUGCAACUCGACUCCAUGAAGUCGGAGUCGCUAGUAAUCGCGGAUCAGCUAAGCCGCGGUGAAUGCGUUCUCGGGGAUU